This 443-nucleotide ribosomal RNA is filed under the name uncultured bacterium. Its description in RNAcentral is "partial 16S ribosomal RNA". It matches the Rfam family "Bacterial small subunit ribosomal RNA", at positions 338 to 795 of the family's 1533-position model. The record is from RNAcentral.
CCUACGGGUGGCAGCAGUGGGGAAUAUUGGGCAAUGGAGGCAACUCUGACCCAGCCACGCCGCGUGAAUGAUGAAGGUCUUCGGGUUGUAAAGUUCUUUUCUACGGGAAGAAGAAAGUGCCGGUCCCUUAGGAAUAAGCCUAGGCCAACUACGUGCCUGCAGACGCGGUAAUACGUCGGAGGCGUGCGUUAGCCGGAAUGACUGGGCUUAAAGGGUGCGUAGGUGGUUUGGCAAGGUAGUAGCGUAAAUUCAAGGCUUAACCUUGGAACUACUACUAAAACUGUUGGACUUGAGUGCAGGAGAGGUAUGCGGAAUGCGUAGUGUAGCGGUGGAAUGCAUAGAUAUUAGGAAGAACUCCAGUGGCGAAGGCGGGUUGCUAGACUGUAACUGACACUGAGGCACGAAAGCGUGGGGAUCAAACAGGAUUAGAUACCCUGGUAGUC